Molecule: long non-coding RNA, 482 nt
Organism: Neofelis nebulosa (Clouded leopard)
Lineage: Eukaryota; Metazoa; Chordata; Mammalia; Carnivora; Felidae
Exons: 5
Source: RefSeq, a predicted model, not a curated record
CAUACAGAGGAGCCAGAUGGACUUGUGGUGGCUCGAGGACAAGGCUUCAGCAGGAGAUUAUACUAAUCACUGACUCGUACGCCUGUGAGCUUGAGUUCUACGUAGCACAAAAUCCAACAAAAGUUGUGAAGAGAUAUAUUUCCACAGAAGACAUAGAGAUGGCCAACAGUACAUGAAGAGAUGCUCACCAUCACUGAUCAUCAGGGAACUGCAAAUUGAAACCACAUCCUAGAAUCAGCCAUUGUUCUGAAGAGUCCUGGUUGUCUUCAUUGGAGAAUGAUAGGAUAAAUGAAGAUCUGUGCCCAAGUACUGCCACUUGUAAUAUUCUUUUGACCGAGAGUGUUUGACACAGGGUGAAUACAAGACAACUCAAGAUGCCUCUGAAGGAACAGAAACACAAGCAUUAAUAACACAAAGGAAAAAACAGUGCACGACUUGGAGCCAUUUAUUGAAUUUGAUGACAUCAAUGCAGCAAAAGAUGA